GGAUUCCCUAGUAACUGCGAGUGAAGCGGGAAGAGCUCAAAUUUUAAAUCGGACAUGUGUUUGACUGUUCGAGUUGUAAUCUAGAGAAGCGUGUUCUGUGCUGGACCGUGUACAAGUCUCCUGGAAGGGAGCGUCAUAGAGGGUGAGAAUCCCGUCUUUGACAUGGACUACCAGUGCUCUGUGAUGCGCUCUCGACGAGUCGAGUUGUUUGGGAAUGCAGCUCAAAUUGGGUGGUAAAUUCCAUCUAAAGCUAAAUAUGGGCGAGAGACCGAUAGCGAACAAGUACCGUGAGGGAAAGAUGAAAAGCACUUUGGAAAGAGAGUGAAACAGUACGUGAAAUUGCUGAAAGGGAAACGCUUGAUGUCAGUCGCAUCGAAUUCCAGGGGUCAACCUUGCCUUUGCUGCUGGGUGUAUUUCCUGGUCGAUGGGUCAGCAUCAGUCUUAGUGUGCCAUUGUACAAGGGCGAAGGAAAUGUGACACUCUUUGUGAGUGUGUUAUAGUCUUUUGUCAAAUGCAGUGGCUGGGACUGAGGAACUCAGCACAGGACCUAGAGUUGAAUUGUGCUUAGGAUGCUGGCAUAAUGGCCUUAAGCGACCCGUCUUGAAACACGGACCAAGGAGUCUAACUUGCCUGCGAGUGUUUGGGUGUUGUAAACUCGAGCGCGCAAUGAAAGUGAAUGUUGAGACCCCUGUCGUGGGGGGCAUCGACGCCCGGACCUAAGUCUUUGACAAAGGAUCUGCGGUAGAGCAUGCAUGUUGGGACCCGAAAGAUGGUGAACUAUGCCUGAAUAGGGUGAAGCCAGAGGAAACUCUGGUGGAGGCUCGUAGCGAUUCUGACGUGC
RNAcentral lists this ribosomal RNA (841 nucleotides) under Tylopilus orsonianus. RNAcentral describes it as "eukaryotic LSU rRNA". It matches the Rfam family "Eukaryotic large subunit ribosomal RNA", at positions 72 to 894 of the family's 3401-position model. Lineage: Eukaryota; Fungi; Basidiomycota; Agaricomycetes; Boletales; Boletaceae. The record is from RNAcentral.